Molecule: ribosomal RNA, 458 nt
Filed under: uncultured bacterium
Lineage: Bacteria
Description: partial 16S ribosomal RNA
Rfam family: Bacterial small subunit ribosomal RNA
Source: RNAcentral
CCUACGGGAGGCAGCAGUGAGGAAUAUUGGUCAAUGGGCGAGAGCCUGAACCAGCCAAGUCGCGUGAGGGAGUACUGCCCUAUGGGUUGUAAACCUCUUUUGUCGGGGAGCAAAAGCCGGACGUGUCCGGCUGUGAGAGUACCCGAAGAAAAAGCAUCGGCUAACUCCGUGCCAGCAGCCGCGGUAAUACGGAGGAUGCGAGCGUUAUCCGGAUUUAUUGGGUUUAAAGGGUGCGCGGGCGGAUUUUUAAGUCAGCGGUAAAAUCGUGGGGCUCAACCCCAUCCAGCCGUUGAAACUGGGGAUCUAGAGUGUGCGAGAGGUAUGCGGAAUGCGUGGUGUAGCGGUGAAAUGCAUAGAUAUCACGCAGAACCCCGAUUGCGAAGGCAGCAUACCGGUGCACAACUGACGCUCAGGCACGAAAGCGUGGGUAUCGAACAGGAUUAGAUACCCCAGUAGUC